UGUGGGCAGGCCUGGUGUUUAGUCGGGGGUCGGGGCUUCAGAUCUGAGAGCUUUUCCUCUGGGCUGAGGAAGAGGAGGACGUCUGUUGUUCUCUGGCAGCUGCUUUCUCUUUGGGACCAUUCUUCACUUUCUAUCAAACGCAUGGACUCUGUGUGAAUCUGCUCCGAAACGUUGCUUCCUCUCCUCAGAUCUAUCUUUACUGUGUACUUUACUUUAAAAAGACUCUGGUCGAAUGUCUCUAACGGUAGAGGACCUGACCGGAGGAGUGAUGACGGAGUUUCAGGAGAAGCUGAGGGCGCAGCACGAGGACUCGAUGCACCGCGAGCUGGAGGCGCUGCUCGGCACCGCCAACAAGGCCGAGGCCGAGAUCUCCAGGAAAGACUUUGAGGGCUUCAAGAAUCUCUUCCACAGAUUCCUGCAGGUCAAAGGUCCCGCGGUGGACUGGG
Molecule: long non-coding RNA, 446 nt
Organism: Gymnodraco acuticeps
Lineage: Eukaryota; Metazoa; Chordata; Actinopteri; Perciformes; Bathydraconidae
Exons: 3
Source: RefSeq, a predicted model, not a curated record